RNAcentral lists this ribosomal RNA (253 nucleotides) under uncultured bacterium. RNAcentral's name for it is "partial 16S ribosomal RNA". It matches the Rfam family "Bacterial small subunit ribosomal RNA", at positions 524 to 776 of the family's 1533-position model. The record is from RNAcentral.
CACGGGGGGAGCAAGCGUUGUUCGGAAUCACUGGGCGUAAAGGGUGCGUAGGCGGCGCGGUAAGUCGGGUGUGAAAUCUCGGAGCUUAACUCCGAAACUGCAUUCGAUACUGCCGUGCUUGAGGACUGGAGAGGAGACUGGAAUUUACGGUGUAGCGGUGAAAUGCGUAGAUAUCGUAAGGAAGACCAGUGGCGAAGGCGGGUCUCUGGACAGUUCCUGACGCUGAGGCGCGAAGGUCAGGGGAGCAAACGGG